GCUUCCCUUGUCUUGGGGUUGUGUGGCUAUUCAAUAAACAUGUAGUGAGAGAAGCCCUGCUAACACCAUGCCAACACAUUUGCAUCACCGGAGCACUAGUUUGGGCUGUGGUGUAAUUUUUGGAACA
Molecule: small nuclear RNA, 127 nt
Organism: Polyodon spathula (Mississippi paddlefish)
Lineage: Eukaryota; Metazoa; Chordata; Actinopteri; Acipenseriformes; Polyodontidae
Product: U4atac minor spliceosomal RNA
Exons: 1
Source: RefSeq, a predicted model, not a curated record